This 468-nucleotide ribosomal RNA is filed under the name uncultured bacterium. RNAcentral's name for it is "partial 16S ribosomal RNA". It matches the Rfam family "Bacterial small subunit ribosomal RNA", at positions 28 to 507 of the family's 1533-position model. The record is from RNAcentral.
GACGAACGCUGGCGGCGUGCUUAACACAUGCAAGUCGAACGGAAAGGCCCUGCUUUUGUGGGGUGCUCGAGUGGCGAACGGGUGAGUAACACGUGAGUAACCUGCCCUUGACUUUGGGAUAACUUCAGGAAACUGGGGCUAAUACCGGAUAGGAGCUCCUGCUGCAUGGUGGGGGUUGGAAAGUUUCGGCGGUUGGGGAUGGACUCGCGGCUUAUCAGCUUGUUGGUGGGGUAGUGGCUUACCAAGGCUUUGACGGGUAGCCGGCCUGAGAGGGUGACCGGCGACAUUGGGACUGAGAUACGGCCCAGACUCCUACGGGAGGCAGCAGUGGGGAAUAUUGCACAAUGGGCGGAAGCCUGAUGCAGCAACGCCGCGUGCGGGAUGACGGCCUUCGGGUUGUAAACCGCUUUCGCCUGUGACGAAGCGUGAGUGACGGUAAUGGGUAAAGAAGCACCGGCUAACUGCGUG